CAGAGGUCCCAAGCGUUGUUCGGAUUCACUGGGCGUAAAGGGUGCGUAGGCGGUCGGGUAAGUCUGAUGUGAAAUCUCACAGCUUAACUGUGAAACUGCAUUGGAUACUAUCCGGCUUGAGGAAUGGAGGGGAGACUGGAAGUACUUGGUGUAGCAGUGAAAUGCGUAGAUAUCAAGUGGAACACCAGUGGCGAAGGCGAGUCUCUGGACAUUUCCUGACGCUGAGGCACGAAAGCCAGGGGAGCAAACGGGAUUAGAUACCCCGGUAGUCCUGGCCCUAAACGGUGCGCAUUUGCUGUGAGUGGAAUCGACCCCGCUCGUGGCGAAGCUAACGCGUUAAAUGCGCCGCCUGGGAAAUACGGCCGCAAGGUUA
This 373-nucleotide ribosomal RNA is filed under the name uncultured organism. RNAcentral describes it as "bacterial SSU rRNA". It matches the Rfam family "Bacterial small subunit ribosomal RNA", at positions 526 to 896 of the family's 1533-position model. The record is from RNAcentral.